GCCUCCGUAGCUCAGUGGAUAGAGCGUCUGUCUCCGGAACAGAAGGUCGAAGGUUCGAUUCCUUUCGGGGGCA
Molecule: transfer RNA, 73 nt
Filed under: Glutamicibacter endophyticus
Lineage: Bacteria; Bacillati; Actinomycetota; Actinomycetes; Micrococcales; Micrococcaceae
Also listed under: 2 other names
Description: tRNA-Arg
Rfam family: tRNA
About the family: Transfer RNA (tRNA) molecules are approximately 80 nucleotides in length. Their secondary structure includes four short double-helical elements and three loops (D, anti-codon, and T loops). Further hydrogen bonds mediate the characteristic L-shaped molecular structure. tRNAs have two regions of fundamental functional importance: the anti-codon, which is responsible for specific mRNA codon recognition, and the 3' end, to which the tRNAs corresponding amino acid is attached (by aminoacyl-tRNA synthetases). tRNAs cope with the degeneracy of the genetic code in two manners: having more than one tRNA (with a specific anti-codon) for a particular amino acid; and 'wobble' base-pairing, i.e. permitting non-standard base-pairing at the 3rd anti-codon position.
Source: RNAcentral